UUACGACCAUUUCACGCUGAAACACGGGUCCUCGUGCGAUCACCGAAGUUAAGCAACGUUGAGCUUGGUCAGUACCUAGAUAGAUGAUAUUUUGUGAAUACCAGAU
Molecule: non-coding RNA, 106 nt
Organism: Acanthosepion pharaonis
Lineage: Eukaryota; Metazoa; Mollusca; Cephalopoda; Sepiida; Sepiidae
Source: the annotation of a GenBank genome assembly